Molecule: ribosomal RNA, 2228 nt
Filed under: Escherichia coli
Lineage: Bacteria; Pseudomonadati; Pseudomonadota; Gammaproteobacteria; Enterobacterales; Enterobacteriaceae
Description: partial 23S ribosomal RNA
Rfam family: Bacterial large subunit ribosomal RNA
Source: RNAcentral
UAGACCCGAAACCCGGUGAUCUAGCCAUGGGCAGGUUGAAGGUUGGGUAACACUAACUGGAGGACCGAACCGACUAAUGUUGAAAAAUUAGCGGAUGACUUGUGGCUGGGGGUGAAAGGCCAAUCAAACCGGGAGAUAGCUGGUUCUCCCCGAAAGCUAUUUAGGUAGCGCCUCGUGAAUUCAUCUCCGGGGGUAGAGCACUGUUUCGGCAAGGGGGUCAUCCCGACUUACCAACCCGAUGCAAACUGCGAAUACCGGAGAAUGUUAUCACGGGAGACACACGGCGGGUGCUAACGUCCGUCGUGAAGAGGGAAACAACCCAGACCGCCAGCUAAGGUCCCAAAGUCAUGGUUAAGUGGGAAACGAUGUGGGAAGGCCCAGACAGCCAGGAUGUUGGCUUAGAAGCAGCCAUCAUUUAAAGAAAGCGUAAUAGCUCACUGGUCGAGUCGGCCUGCGCGGAAGAUGUAACGGGGCUAAACCAUGCACCGAAGCUGCGGCAGCGACGCUGAUGCGUUGUUGGGUAGGGGAGCGUUCUGUAAGCCUGUGAAGGUGUGCUGUGAGGCAUGCUGGAGGUAUCAGAAGUGCGAAUGCUGACAUAAGUAACGAUAAAGCGGGUGAAAAGCCCGCUCGCCGGAAGACCAAGGGUUCCUGUCCAACGUUAAUCGGGGCAGGGUGAGUCGACCCCUAAGGCGAGGCCGAAAGGCGUAGUCGAUGGGAAACAGGUUAAUAUUCCUGUACUUGGUGUUACUGCGAAGGGGGGACGGAGAAGGCUAUGUUGGCCGGGUGACGGUUGUCCCGGUUUAAGCGUGUAGGCUGGUUUUCCAGGCAAAUCCGGAAAAUCAAGGCUGAGGCGUGAUGACGAGGCACUACGGUGCUGAAGCAACAAAUGCCCUGCUUCCAGGAAAAGCCUCUAAGCAUCAGGUAACAUCAAAUCGUACCCCAAACCGACACAGGUGGUCAGGUAGAGAAUACCAAGGCGCUUGAGAGAACUCGGGUGAAGGAACUAGGCAAAAUGGUGCCGUAACUUCGGGAGAAGGCACGCUGAUAUGUAGGUGAAGUCCCUCGCGGAUGGAGCUGAAAUCAGUCGAAGAUACCAGCUGGCUGCAACUGUUUAUUAAAAACACAGCACUGUGCAAACACGAAAGUGGACGUAUACGGUGUGACGCCUGCCCGGUGCCGGAAGGUUAAUUGAUGGGGUCAGCGCAAGCGAAGCUCUUGAUCGAAGCCCCGGUAAACGGCGGCCGUAACUAUAACGGUCCUAAGGUAGCGAAAUUCCUUGUCGGGUAAGUUCCGACCUGCACGAAUGGCGUAAUGAUGGCCAGGCUGUCUCCACCCGAGACUCAGUGAAAUUGAACUCGCUGUGAAGAUGCAGUGUACCCGCGGCAAGACGGAAAGACCCCGUGAACCUUUACUAUAGCUUGACACUGAACAUUGAGCCUUGAUGUGUAGGAUAGGUGGGAGGCUUUGAAGUGUGGACGCCAGUCUGCAUGGAGCCGACCUUGAAAUACCACCCUUUAAUGUUUGAUGUUCUAACGUUGACCCGUAAUCCGGGUUGCGGACAGUGUCUGGUGGGUAGUUUGACUGGGGCGGUCUCCUCCUAAAGAGUAACGGAGGAGCACGAAGGUUGGCUAAUCCUGGUCGGACAUCAGGAGGUUAGUGCAAUGGCAUAAGCCAGCUUGACUGCGAGCGUGACGGCGCGAGCAGGUGCGAAAGCAGGUCAUAGUGAUCCGGUGGUUCUGAAUGGAAGGGCCAUCGCUCAACGGAUAAAAGGUACUCCGGGGAUAACAGGCUGAUACCGCCCAAGAGUUCAUAUCGACGGCGGUGUUUGGCACCUCGAUGUCGGCUCAUCACAUCCUGGGGCUGAAGUAGGUCCCAAGGGUAUGGCUGUUCGCCAUUUAAAGUGGUACGCGAGCUGGGUUUAGAACGUCGUGAGACAGUUCGGUCCCUAUCUGCCGUGGGCGCUGGAGAACUGAGGGGGGCUGCUCCUAGUACGAGAGGACCGGAGUGGACGCAUCACUGGUGUUCGGGUUGUCAUGCCAAUGGCACUGCCCGGUAGCUAAAUGCGGAAGAGAUAAGUGCUGAAAGCAUCUAAGCACGAAACUUGCCCCGAGAUGAGUUCUCCCUGACCCUUUAAGGGUCCUGAAGGAACGUUGAAGACGACGACGUUGAUAGGCCGGGUGUGUAAGCGCAGCGAUGCGUUGAGCUAACCGGUACUAAUGAACCGUGAG